AUGAAAAUAGAUCAGAGGAUGAUCAUCGUGUCGUCGAUCAUGGGUUCUCUAGGGGUGCUGAGCGCCAUCCUGGGGUUCUCAGCCGAGGGCACGAAGCUCACUGUUUGGACCGUGUACAGGUAUCGAGGGGUGUGCCUGUACCCGCAGAACCCGGCGCUGGGGCUCGGGGUCUGCGCGGCCAUCUUCCUCAUCGUAGGCCAGAUCAUCUUCGCGGUCGUCGGCGGCUGCUGCGGCUGCUGCAAGUCCCGCGCCAUCCCCUCCGAGACCAACCGGGUCAUCGGCGUCGUCUGCGCCGUCUUUUCAUGGAUCGCGGCGGUGGUCGCCUUCGGGCUGCUGGUGGAAGGCGCCAAGUGGAACGACACCGGGACGCGGUACUCGUCAGGGUACGGUGGGUGCUACGUCCUUAAGGACGGCAUCUUCGCCGGCGGCGCCGUGCUCACGCUCGUCGCCACUGCCCUCGGCCUCACCUCCUACAUCAUGCUCAGCACGCAGCCGGCCGCUACUGCCACCACCACCGCCGCCGCGACGCCCCCGUUGGGCGGCGCCGGGAUCGCGAUGGGACAGCCGCAGUUUCCACAGCCUUCUCCCGCGCCGAACGCGAAGCUCCCUCCUGUCCCUUCUCCGGCACAACAGUUGCCCCCUCUUCCUGCACACGCGCCGGGCCCGCAGAUGCCCGCUGCUUCUCCUCCUUCAGCUCAGGGCCAUGGACCGCAGACGCCGAACGAGCAGGCGCUGCCUGAGCUGCCUCCCAAAGGACAUGAAAUGCUCGCACGCCCCGUCUGA
Molecule: ribosomal RNA, 783 nt
Filed under: Triticum aestivum (bread wheat)
Lineage: Eukaryota; Viridiplantae; Streptophyta; Magnoliopsida; Poales; Poaceae
Description: partial small subunit ribosomal RNA
Source: RNAcentral